This 79-nucleotide transfer RNA is filed under the name Mannia pilosa. RNAcentral describes it as "partial tRNA-Leu". Lineage: Eukaryota; Viridiplantae; Streptophyta; Marchantiopsida; Marchantiales; Aytoniaceae. The record is from RNAcentral.
AAAAUCGAUAUCGGUAGACGCUACGGACUUAAAUCCGUUGGCUUUAAAGACCGUGAGGGUUCAAUUCCCUCUACCCCCA